AGAGUUUGAUCAUGGCUCAGGAUGAACGCUAGCGGCACGCUUCAUACAUGCAAGUCGAGGGGCAGCAUAAAGUACUUGUACUUUGAUGGCGACCGGCGAACGGGUGCGUAACGCGUAUGCAACUUACCUUUUACUAGAGAAUAGCCAAGAGAAAUUUUGAUUAAUGCUCUAUACUCUUUUUAACUCACAUGAGAUUUUAAGAAAAGCUCCGGCGGUAAAAGAUGGGCAUGCGUCCUAUUAGCUUGUAGGUGAGGUAACGGCUCACCUAAGCUCCGAUAGGUAGGGGUCCUGAGAGGGAGAUCCCCCACACUGGUACUGAGACACGGACCAGACUUCNNCGGAAGGCAGCAGUAAGGAAUAUUGGACAAUGGAGGAAACUCUGAUCCAGCGAUNCCGCGUGAAGGAAGACGGCCC
RNAcentral lists this ribosomal RNA (414 nucleotides) under uncultured bacterium. RNAcentral's name for it is "bacterial SSU rRNA". It matches the Rfam family "Bacterial small subunit ribosomal RNA", at positions 8 to 417 of the family's 1533-position model. The record is from RNAcentral.